CCCUGCAGGUGGAGCCGCGCCCCGGCCCCCGCGGGUGGACGCCUUGGGUGGCUGGGUGUGCCGGCGGGGGACGGAGGAAGGCGAUGGCCACCUGGGGAGUCGGCGGGGGGGCGCUAAUCAGCUGAGCUUUUCGGGGGCACCUUGGCCGCCCAGGUGCCGAAAUUAUGGAAGAGCGGCCCAAUGACCGAGAAUUCGAAGAGGUGGGGCCGAAGGGCAGCCACCGGAAGGACAGGCAGGGGAGGAGGGGAGCCGAAGGUGGCACAGCGGAGCACGGAAGACUUCAGAAGUGGGGAGAAGAGGUCGGGCAAGGGUCCCUUUCGUUGGUAGAAGAAGACAUGAGCGCCCUCAGCCAGAAAGGACUAGGGGGUAUUGCAGCAACGUCUGACCCUCCCCCUGCUGAGAGAAUGGGUCUCACUCACCCUCCAGCGCACCCCAAGUUGGCUGUACUUCUGAUCCGGCCAUGUGUACUCUGGGGACCGUGUAGACGGACCAGCCCCAAAUCUGGACAUCCUGGCAGAGGCCAAGGAGAGACAGGACCAUGAGUUCAUGCUCGCAGCUUCAUUGCCUCAACCUUAUUUUUUCAGCUCUACCUAGUUUCUUCAUUGAUCUUGAUGCUGAAAGAAAACAAUCAAUGGUGUCCCACCCCCCAGGACCUUUACCAGGAGCUGAUUGUAUCCAUCUCUUCCCAACUCCGUGUUCAGUGAUGUCACCGCAGCAGCUGGAAAUCAGCCAUGGGAGCAUUCAUAUCUCAGAAACCAACAACUGCUACAAUUCAAGACUUUUUCCCCCUUGACGAGACAGAGAGAGACAGUAAGAGCAGCGGACGGUCAGAGAG
Long non-coding RNA from Suricata suricatta (meerkat), 835 nucleotides. RefSeq lists it as uncharacterized. The transcript is spliced from 4 exons. NCBI's taxonomy places the organism in Eukaryota, Metazoa, Chordata, Mammalia, Carnivora, Herpestidae. The record is from RefSeq and is a predicted model, not a curated record.